CAAUAGCGUAUAUUUAAGUUGUUGCAGUUAAAAAGCUCGUAGUUGGAUUUCGGAUGGGACUUGCCGGUCCGUCGUUUCGAUGUGCACUGGCCAGUCCUAUCUUGUUGUCGGGGACUAGCUCCUGGGCUUCACUGUCCGGGACUAGGAGCUGUCGAGGUUACUUUGAGUAAAUUAGAGUGUUCAAAGCAAGCCUACGCUCUGAAUACAUUAGCAUGGAAUAACACGAUAGGACUCUGGCUUAUCUUGUUGGUCUGUGAGACCAGAGUAAUGAUUAAGAGGGACAGUCGGGGGCAUUCGUAUUUCAUUGUCAGAGGUGAAAUUCUUGGAUUUAUGAAAGACGAACUUCUGCGAAAGCAUUUGUCAAGGAUGUUUUCAUUAA
This 379-nucleotide ribosomal RNA is filed under the name uncultured eukaryote. RNAcentral's name for it is "partial 18S ribosomal RNA". It matches the Rfam family "Eukaryotic small subunit ribosomal RNA", at positions 592 to 976 of the family's 1831-position model. The record is from RNAcentral.